Molecule: ribosomal RNA, 468 nt
Filed under: uncultured bacterium
Lineage: Bacteria
Description: partial 16S ribosomal RNA
Rfam family: Bacterial small subunit ribosomal RNA
Source: RNAcentral
GACGAACGCUGGCGGCGUGCUUAACACAUGCAAGUCGAACGGAAAGGCCCUGCUUUUGUGGGGUGCUCGAGUGGCGAACGGGUGAGUAACACGUGAGUAACCUGCCCUUGACUUUGGGAUAACUUCAGGAAACUGGGGCUAAUACCGGAUAGGAGCUCCUGCUGCAUGGUGGGGGUUGGAAAGUUUCGGCGGUUGGGGAUGGACUCGCGGCUUAUCAGCUUGUUGGUGGGGUAGUGGCUUACCAAGGCUUUGACGGGUAGCCGGCCUGAGAGGGUGACCGGCCACACUGGGACUGAGAUACGGCCCAGACUCCUACGGGAGGCAGCAGUGGGGAAUAUUGCACAAUGGGCGGAAGCCUGAUGCAGCGACGCCGCGUGCGGGAUGACGGCCUUCGGGUUGUAAACCGCUUUCGCCUGUGACGAAGCGUGAGUGACGGUAAUGGGUAAAGAAGCACCGGCUAACUACGUG